AUUGAACGCUGGCGGCAGGCCUAACACAUGCAAGUCGAGCGGAUGAAGGGAGCUUGCUCCUGGAUUCAGCGGCGGACGGGUGAGUAAUGCCUAGGAAUCUGCCUGGUAGUGGGGGAUAACGUCCGGAAACGGGCGCUAAUACCGCAUACGUCCUGAGGGAGAAAGUGGGGGAUCUUCGGACCUCACGCUAUCAGAUGAGCCUAGGUCGGAUUAGCUAGUUGGUGGGGUAAAGGCCUACCAAGGCGACGAUCCGUAACUGGUCUGAGAGGAUGAUCAGUCACACUGGAACUGAGGCACGGUCCAGACUCCUACGGGAGGCAGCAGUGGGGAAUAUUGGACGAUGGGCGAAAGCCUGAUCCAGCCAUGCCGCGUGUGUGAAGAAGGUCUUCGGAUUGUAAAGCACUUUAAGUUGGGAGGAAGGGCAGUAAGUUAAUACCUUGCUGUUUUGACGUUACCAACAGAAUAAGCACCGGCUAACUUCGUG
This 484-nucleotide ribosomal RNA is filed under the name uncultured bacterium. Its description in RNAcentral is "partial 16S ribosomal RNA". It matches the Rfam family "Bacterial small subunit ribosomal RNA", at positions 30 to 507 of the family's 1533-position model. The record is from RNAcentral.